AGGGAAUAUUGCUUAAUGGGCGAAAGCCUGAGGCAGCAACGCCGCGUGAACGAAGAAGGCCUUCGGGUCGUAAAGUUCUUUUACGUGGGAUGAGGAAGGACAGUACCACGAGAAUAAGUCUCGGCUAACUACGUGCCAGCAGCCGCGGUAAAACGUAGGAGGCGAGCGUUAUCCGGAUUUACUGGGCGUAAAGCGCGUGUAGGAGGCGCUACAAGUUGGAUGUGAAAGCUCCCGGCUUAACUGGGAGAGGUCGUUCAAGACUGUAGGGCUAGAGUGAGGCAGAGGUAGAUGGAACUCCGGGAGUAGUGGUGAAAUGCGUAGAUAUCCGGAAGAACACCAGAGGCGAAAGCGAUCUACUGGGCCUAAACUGACACUGAGACGCGAAAGCCAGGGUAGCAAACGG
RNAcentral lists this ribosomal RNA (403 nucleotides) under uncultured bacterium. RNAcentral describes it as "bacterial SSU rRNA". It matches the Rfam family "Bacterial small subunit ribosomal RNA", at positions 356 to 775 of the family's 1533-position model. The record is from RNAcentral.